This 806-nucleotide ribosomal RNA is filed under the name Arthrobacter sp. RNAcentral describes it as "bacterial SSU rRNA". It matches the Rfam family "Bacterial small subunit ribosomal RNA", at positions 67 to 883 of the family's 1533-position model. Lineage: Bacteria; Bacillati; Actinomycetota; Actinomycetes; Micrococcales; Micrococcaceae. The record is from RNAcentral.
CGAUGAUCCGGUGCUUGCAGCCGGGGAUUAGUGGCGAACGGGUGAGUAACACGUGAGUAACCUGCCCUUGACUCUGGGAUAAGCCUGGGAAACUGGGUCUAAUACCGGAUAUGACUCCUCAUCGCAUGGUGGGGGGUGGAAAGCUUUUGUGGUUUUGGAUGGACUCGCGGCCUAUCAGCUUGUUGGUGAGGUAAUGGCUCACCAAGGCGACGACGGGUAGCCGGCCUGAGAGGGUGACCGGCCACACUGGGACUGAGACACGGCCCAGACUCCUACGGGAGGCAGCAGUGGGGAAUAUUGCACAAUGGGCGCAAGCCUGAUGCAGCGACGCCGCGUGAGGGAUGACGGCCUUCGGGUUGUAAACCUCUUUCAGUAGGGAAGAAGCGAAAGUGACGGUACCUGCAGAAGAAGCGCCGGCUAACUACGUGCCAGCAGCCGCGGUAAUACGUAGGGCGCAAGCGUUAUCCGGAAUUAUUGGGCGUAAAGAGCUCGUAGGCGGUUUGUCGCGUCUGCCGUGAAAGUCCGGGGCUCAACUCCGGAUCUGCGGUGGGUACGGGCAGGCUAGAGUGAUGUAGGGGAGACUGGAAUUCCUGGUGUAGCGGUGAAAUGCGCAGAUAUCAGGAGGAACACCGAUGGCGAAGGCAGGUCUCUGGGCAUUAACUGACGCUGAGGAGCGAAAGCAUGGGGAGCGAACAGGAUUAGAUACCCUGGUAGUCCAUGCCGUAAACGUUGGGCACUAGGUGUGGGGGACAUUCCACGUUUUCCGCGCCGUAGCUAACGCAUUAAGUGCCCCGCCUGGGGAGUAC